ACUGGGACUGAGAACGGCCCAGACUCCUACGGGAGGCAGCAGUAGGGAAUUUUCCACAAUGGGCGAAAGCCUGAUGGAGCAACGCCGCGUGCAGGAUGAAGGCUUUCGAGUUGUAAACUGCUUUUAUAUGUGAAGAUUAUGACGGUAGCAUAUGAAUAAGGAUCGGCUAAUUCCGUGCCAGCAGCCGCGGUCAUACGGAAGAUCCAAGCGUUAUCCGGAAUUACUGGGCGUAAAGAGUUGCGUAGGUGGCAUAGUAAGUCUGUAGUGAAAGCGUGGGGCUCAACCCCAUAACCAUUAUGGAAACUGCUAAGCUAGAGGGCGAGAGAGGUUACUAGAAUUCCUAGUGUAGGAGUGAAAUCCGUAGAUAUUAGGAGGAAUACCGAUGGCGUAGGCAGGUAACUGGCUCGUCCCUGACACUAAGGCACGAAAGCGUGGGGAGCGACCGGGAUUAGAUACCCCGUUAGUCCACGCCGUAAACGAUGGAUGCUAGCUGUAGGACGUAUCGACCCGUUCUGUAGCGAAGCUAACGCGUUAAGCAUCCCGCCUGUGGAGUACGAGCGCAAGCUUAAAACAUAAAGGAAUUGACGGGGACCCGCACAAGCGGUGGAGCGUGUUCUUUAAUUCGAGGAUAAGCGAAGAACCUUACCCAGGCUUGACAUCCUUGGAAGGCUUCCGAAAGGAAACUGUGCCUUCGGGAACCAAGUGACAGGUGUUGCAUGGCCGUCGUCAGCUCGUGUCGUGAGAUGUUUGGUUAAGUCCAUCAACGAGCGCAACCCUUGUGAUUAGUUGGAUUUUUCUAAUCAGACUGCCCCGGUAACGGGGAGGAAGGAAGGGAUGAUGUCAGGUCAGUAUUACCCUUACGUCUGGGGCUAGAAACACGCUACAAUGGCCAGUACAAAGGGCAGCCAAGGCGCGAGCCGGAGCAAAUCCCAUCAAAGCUGGUCUCAGUUCGGAUAGCAGGCUGAAACUCGCCUGCUUGAAGCCGGAAUCGCUAGUAACGGUGAGUCAGCACAUCACCGUGAAUACGUUCCCGGGUCUUGUACACACCGCCCGUCAAACCAUGAAAGUCACCAAUACCUGACGUCUGUACUAGCUACGGCCUAAGGUAGGGGGGAUGAUUGGGGUU
This 1126-nucleotide ribosomal RNA is filed under the name uncultured bacterium TM7LH17. RNAcentral's name for it is "bacterial SSU rRNA". It matches the Rfam family "Bacterial small subunit ribosomal RNA", at positions 312 to 1482 of the family's 1533-position model. Lineage: Bacteria; Candidatus Saccharimonadota. The record is from RNAcentral.